AAUCAAAUAGGCUACAUUUGAGUUGAUGACGACGGCUGCUCAGCAAGAUUACUCGGUCUUUCAAUUAUUAUUUUGAACUAAUUUGCGAUGUGACAUGUAAACGAAGGAGAACAGAAGAUGUGAACACACAGAAGACGCUCAGACUGGAUGCGUGAGAUCCUGCAAUAUUGGCGAUCAGCACUGGAAGAAGAUUUUUGGGGGGAGAGCAGGCACCCAACAGAGAGACAAAUCCACAACGGCAUGAUUAUCAACUUCAUUAUUGACAAAGAAAGGAGAACAUGUCACCAUCAUGAGCCCUUUAUUUAGUUCACGGAAGAACAUCAAGGGAAAGACCCUCAGACGUGUCAUAACAGGAUAAAUGUGGCUACAGGACGCAUCACCCCACCCCAUCCCAGAUUGACCAAGGAUCCAGAUGAGUACUGGCAAUUUGGUGGAGGAUUGCUCUUUAUCUACUACUACAUUGU
Molecule: non-coding RNA, 464 nt
Organism: Pimephales promelas (fathead minnow)
Lineage: Eukaryota; Metazoa; Chordata; Actinopteri; Cypriniformes; Leuciscidae
Source: RefSeq, a predicted model, not a curated record